This 150-nucleotide unclassified non-coding RNA is filed under the name uncultured Ramophialophora. RNAcentral describes it as "sequence contains ITS2". The record is from RNAcentral. Lineage: Eukaryota; Fungi; Ascomycota; Sordariomycetes; Sordariales.
CAACCAUCAAGCCCUAGGCUUGUGUUGGGGCCCUGCGGCUGCCGCAGGCCCUGAAAAACAGUGGCGGGCUCGCUGUCACACCGAGCGUAGUAAAACAUCUCGCUUUGGACGUGCGGCGGGUUCUUGCCGUUAAACCCCCCCCCUUCUCAA